CUCCCCCAAAGCCAGAAAUUCAUUUUGUCCAUGACUUGCCUCCCAUAUCACCAGAGGUAACUAUUUUACUGUAUGAUUUGCCACUGAAUGACACGAGUCAACACCACUCAAGCCUCUGAUACAUGUAUUGCUUCAGGUAUCGUGGGUCAAGGAGGGUCUCUUGGCACUGAGCUUUGCUGCCUUGGAAGACGGUUGAUGCAGGUGGGAUCUCCCCAGGCCAGCUGGCAUGUUGCAAGGUUACAGACUCCAUUCCUUGAGUUCUAGAAGCUGGGAAGUUCAAGAUCAAGAUGCCAGCAGAUUCCACGUCUGGAUCGUGUAACGAUCAAGAGAAUGGAAGACAGGCUGAGUUUGAAUGUCAGCUCCUCCACAUCUGGCGAGAAUUUGUACGAGUUAACCAACCUCUCUGUGUCUAAGUUUCCUCAUCAAUAAAACAGGAAUGAUAAAAUAGAA
RNAcentral lists this long non-coding RNA (450 nucleotides) under Equus caballus (horse). RNAcentral's name for it is "lncRNA (ENSECAG00000048775.1)". The record is from RNAcentral. Lineage: Eukaryota; Metazoa; Chordata; Mammalia; Perissodactyla; Equidae.